This 342-nucleotide long non-coding RNA is filed under the name Nicotiana benthamiana. RNAcentral's name for it is "long non-coding RNA (NBEN_LNC020111)". The record is from RNAcentral. Lineage: Eukaryota; Viridiplantae; Streptophyta; Magnoliopsida; Solanales; Solanaceae.
GACAAAGAAAUAUUGAGAAAAAAGAUAUUCAAGGAUAUGAUUAAGAGCAUUUUUAUUGACCAAAAUGACAUAUCUUUCUUAGUCUUCCUUCCCCCUAUGGAAAAAAAACUAAAAGAAGACAUGCCAAUGUACAAGUUACAUCAUAAUUUAUGCAUUAUUCCCUGAACAUGACUUAACUCAGUUAUCCUCUGUGGUGAACGCUUAUUCUUGUUCCUUGGGGUUAAUUCUAUUGACAGUUGCACACACAUCAUCGGCUACUUCAGUUUUUUCGACAUCUUUUGGAGUUCCUGGAGCCGAGCCAUAUGCUUCUUCCCUGUCCUGUGUGACUCCAUUGAUUUCUCA